RNAcentral lists this ribosomal RNA (612 nucleotides) under Triticum aestivum (bread wheat). Its description in RNAcentral is "partial small subunit ribosomal RNA". The record is from RNAcentral. Lineage: Eukaryota; Viridiplantae; Streptophyta; Magnoliopsida; Poales; Poaceae.
AUGCCAUCUCCGCCGCCUUCAUUCUCAUCGCUAUGCCGCCGCCUGUUCUUCCUCCUGACCAUCCUCUUCCUGCUCUGCUCCGCGCGCAGCAGCCUGGAGGAGGUCAGGGCCCUUAGCGUCGGCGAUGAGCUGGUGGGCGAGGCCAUCCCGCUUCGCUACGGCCGGAGGCUCUACAGGCUCGCCGGGCUACGGCCGCCCGCGUGGUACGAAAUCAAGAUCUCCUACCCGACCUCCAUACCGUCCAGCUUCUCCAUUCGCCUCGUGAACGAUCCUAAUGCCGUUGAGGAUUUGGGGAGUAAGAACAGGAGGUUGCUCAACACGGAGAAGAUAGUUUUCAAGGCUGAGAGCACCAGGCCGGUUUAUGUUCUUGUCAUGGUGGAGCCUGAGGGUGUGGUUGCAAAGCCAAAUGUGCCAGAGCGAGAGCUUGCCCUGUUCAACAUUGUUUGCGACGAACUUUUGCUCGGGAUCCCACAUUUUGCCUGGUGGGUGGGAACUGCAGCAUUAAUUUGCAUUGUGCUGGCAUCAAUAGCACCAUAUUUCCUCCCGCUGUACAAGCUACUUAACUAUGAAGCUGCAGAAUUGACCAGCGUUGAUGCAGCUAAGCUUUCGUGA